GGAGAUGUAUCUCAAAUGUAGAGCAUUAUGUAUGCAUGCUAGAGGCACGGGGUUCAAUUCCUCGUGUCUCCA
This 72-nucleotide transfer RNA is filed under the name Setaria italica (foxtail millet). It matches the Rfam family "tRNA". From Rfam's summary of the family: Transfer RNA (tRNA) molecules are approximately 80 nucleotides in length. Their secondary structure includes four short double-helical elements and three loops (D, anti-codon, and T loops). The record is from Rfam by way of RNAcentral. RNAcentral also lists the same sequence under 1 other name. Lineage: Eukaryota; Viridiplantae; Streptophyta; Magnoliopsida; Poales; Poaceae.